UACGUAGGGGGCAAGCGUUGUCCGGAAUUAUUGGGCGUAAAGAGCGCGUAGGCGGUCCGGUAAGUCGGUUGUGAAAGUCGGGGGCUCAACCCUCGGAUGCCGAUCGAUACUGUCGGGCUAGAGUCCGGAAGAGGCGAGUGGAAUUCCCGGUGUAGCGGUGAAAUGCGCAGAUAUCAGGAGGAACACCGGUGGCGAAGGCGGAUCUCUGGGCCAUUACUGACGCUGAGGAGCGAAAGCGUGGGGAGCGAACAGG
RNAcentral lists this ribosomal RNA (253 nucleotides) under uncultured bacterium. RNAcentral's name for it is "partial 16S ribosomal RNA". It matches the Rfam family "Bacterial small subunit ribosomal RNA", at positions 524 to 776 of the family's 1533-position model. The record is from RNAcentral.